UUGGAUCUCGCGGUCUGAGGGCGGUUCGCUUGAUUGAGUGCUACUGCUCUAUAGGCCGUGGUUUUGCCAGAGGUCUCGGGGUGCUCUUAACCGAGUGUCCUGCGAUGCUGGCAGGUUUACUUUGAAAAAAUUAGAGUGCUCAAAGCAGGCUUUUACGCCUGAAUAUUCGUGCAUGGAAUAAUAGAAUAGGAAGUCGUUUCUAUUUUGUUGGUUUUCGGAAAUCGACUUAAUGAUUAAUAGGGACAGUCGGGGGCAUUUGUAUUCAAACGACAGAGGUGAAAUUCUUGGACCGUUUGAAGACAAACUACUGCGAAAGCAUUUGCCGAGAAUGUUUUCAUUAAUCAAGAACGAAAGUUAGAGGUUCGAAGGCGAUUAGAUACCGCCCUAGUUCU
RNAcentral lists this ribosomal RNA (392 nucleotides) under uncultured marine eukaryote. RNAcentral's name for it is "SSU rRNA". It matches the Rfam family "Eukaryotic small subunit ribosomal RNA", at positions 634 to 1027 of the family's 1831-position model. The record is from RNAcentral.